GAAUCAGAAUGGGCCCUGUUAGCCCUAAGCCCAAGCAGGAAGGGGGGUAUGGACCGUGAAAAGGGGAAGUAUGCACAGAAUUCGCUUGACAUGGGCCUUGUCUGGAGCCUAAGGCCCAAAAAUAACAAUUGAGAAGAGAAAACCAAAUGGAGGAUCCAUCCUCCUUCUCCCAUCGCUCGCUAACCUCACAGAAGAAAAAUGAAAGAACGCUCCUCACCGGAAAAGCCUUGCCGCGCCGAAUUUCGUCACCGGCAGCGGCGAAUGAUUCACCACACUCAUUCUCGCUUCCACCACUUGCCACGAAUCUACUCCCUAUAUCCUACUCCAACUUCUUCUUUAUUGACCGAACCAGAAAGAUCAUUCUAAGAACCCUAGGUAAAAAACUUCAAUUAAGUCCUCGUAUGGAGGUAAUCAAAUCCAUGAAUUUGGGAUAAACGCUCACCUAAUCGAUGCCUUUACAACGUCGACAACACGAGGCAAAUAGGAGAAUCUUUGCGUACCUUCGACGUCGACGACGGAGCAUACGGCGGACGGCGCUUAGAUACUGAUUCGUUGCGAGCUUCUACGGAUUUUGUUGAAGUUUCUUGGUGGAUGAUGAAGGUCUCACUCGCGUCUCCACUUUGAGAUGAAGACGAAGACGUUACACCGGUAUUGCCGAUCGAAAUGAAGAAGAAGCCUCUUGGAUCGUGAGUUUCCGAUUAUUCCGAUCUCUUCUGGAUUUCUCUUUUCUAUUAUUUCUUCUUUUUCCUUCUGCUUAUCACCUUCGAGAAUGGAGAGAACUGCUGCAGAAUUGUUGCAGGAUCUUUGGUGGUUCAGUUGUGAUGAUGAUACAGUUAUGCGGAAGAAUUGAAGAGUAUGAUUGGAAGCGGUUGAAGGUUUGUUACUGUGAUGGCUGGGAGAAAAGUUGGUUAGAGAUGCGAUGAGGUUGAAGAAGAAGAAUCUGGAAGGGGUGAAGAUUGAUUUAUAGAGUGAUGGAGAGGUUAGAGAAUUUUGUUCAUGGCUGGCUCACGUUUGGAGUUUGGUUUACGGCGUCGGCAUUGGCUUGUAAUGCUGCAUUUCAACUUCUGUUUAGCAGCUGGUAUUGUUAUGCGCUUGGAUCACGCUUGGUUCAGGCUUGGUAUGCGUUUUGCACUUGAAUUGCCGGCGUGCUUGGCUUGUGCAUUGCAGCAGCUUUUUCACUUUACUAUUUUUCUGCUUUUUCCUUAAUGCACACUAAUUAAAGGACUAAUGAUAAGGGAUGUAAAAGGUGAAUUUUAGAUUCAACUGGAAUUACUGAAAAAUGGAUAAUUGGAUUGGUUUAUGAAUGGAUGUUAAUUGGAAUGGGAUUGGAUUAA
Lathyrus oleraceus (garden pea) is the source of this 1334-nucleotide long non-coding RNA. RefSeq lists it as uncharacterized. The record is from RefSeq and is a predicted model, not a curated record. The transcript has 3 exons. Lineage: Eukaryota; Viridiplantae; Streptophyta; Magnoliopsida; Fabales; Fabaceae.